Molecule: ribosomal RNA, 462 nt
Filed under: uncultured Anaeromusa sp.
Lineage: Bacteria; Bacillati; Bacillota; Negativicutes; Selenomonadales; Sporomusaceae
Description: partial 16S ribosomal RNA
Rfam family: Bacterial small subunit ribosomal RNA
Source: RNAcentral
UGGAUCUUAGUGGCGAACGGGUGAGUAACGCGUAGGCAAUCUGCCUUCUAGAUGGGGACAACAUCCCGAAAGGGGUGCUAAUACCGAAUGUUGUACCGUUUCCGCAUGGAGAUGAUACUAAAGGUGGCCUCUGAAUAUGCUACCGCUAGAAGAUGAGCCUGCGUCUGAUUAGCUAGUUGGAGGGGUAACGGCCCACCAAGGCUUCGAUCAGUAGCCGGUCUGAGAGGAUGAACGGCCACACUGGGACUGAGACACGGCCCAGACUCCUACGGGAGGCAGCAGUGGGGAAUCUUCCGCAAUGGACGAAAGUCUGACGGAGCAACGCCGCGUGAGUGAAGAAGGUUUUCGGAUCGUAAAGCUCUUUCGUUAGGGACGAACGUGCUCUUUGUGAAUAAUGAGGAGUAAUGACGGUACCUAAAUAAGAAGCCACGGCUAACUACGUGCCAGCAGCCGCGGUAAUAC